This is a non-coding RNA of Potamilus streckersoni, 72 nucleotides long. The record is from the annotation of a GenBank genome assembly. Lineage: Eukaryota; Metazoa; Mollusca; Bivalvia; Unionida; Unionidae.
GCUCUGGUGGCCUAAUGUUUACGGCGCCCGCCUCAGAUGCGGGAGGUCUUGGGUUCGAUCCCGCUCAGCGUU